RNAcentral lists this ribosomal RNA (820 nucleotides) under uncultured fungus. Its description in RNAcentral is "eukaryotic LSU rRNA". The stretch from base 317 to 470 matches the Rfam family "5.8S ribosomal RNA". Lineage: Eukaryota; Fungi. The record is from RNAcentral.
GUGACUUGUUUUCAACAAUCUCCCCGUACUGUUACAUGAAUUGGGUUUAGUCUCGAUGAGAUAAUGAAUAGGGAAUUCUUUCGGGAGUUCACGUCUUAUGAGAUCACCUGAGCGCAAGCUCUGACAAUUGUAGUAAUAGUUGGCGGGUCAAACCUAUUUCUUCUAUCAUCCUCUCCUUUCAUGAGGGCGAUAGUUGAAAGCAAACAAACAAACUUAUUUCACCCCCUUUUUGCUAGUUGACUUUUAUAUGUUGUUUCUUUUGCGACUUCACUGUUGCGACUGAUUCACACGUUUAUUACUUGAACGUCAAAAUUACAACUCUUAGCAAUGGAUAUCUUGGUUCUCGCAACGAUGAAGAACGCAGCGAAAUGCGAUACGUAAUGCGAAUUGCAGAAUUCAGUGAAUCAUCAAAUCUUUGAACGCAAAUUGCGCUCUUGGGUAGCCCUAGGAGCACGCCUCUCUCAGUAUCGGUUCAACAACCUCUCAGCAGCGUACAUGAAUUUAUUUUUGUGCUAUCGUGUUGGCUGGAUAAUGAGAGUCUGAGCUUCACAGUUCAGUCUCUUGAAAUACAUCGAGUGAGCAUCAUAUUCAUACAUGUCGGCGCAAGUCGAAGCCGGUCUCUGACUGGUUGUAUGGGAGUGACGUGAAUACUGACCCUCUGUGGUCUACUCAUUUACGUGUAACUUUCGUGCAGCUACUUAAAAGUCUAAGUCUCGGUGUGUGUGAAGAGGUGUCUCAUGUGAAGCGGCUGCAUAAGCUGCAAUCGGCUUUCUAUAUAAAAGCAAUUUUAUUGUGAUUGCCUGAAUUUUGAUCUGAGAUG